GUUUGCUAAAGCAAGUAAGGUGCCUUUCUCUAUUGGGACAGGCUUAAAAGGGAAGUACGGUGAAAAGCCGUCACGGUACCCGCCACUGUGAUGAGGAGCUUCAUUGCAUCAUGUCACUGAAGGAAACUUCGGGAAGGCGCAAUGAAGCGAUGACUCUAAGUCAGGAGACCUGCCUUAUUUGCUCGGCCGGA
RNAcentral lists this non-coding RNA (191 nucleotides) under Anoxybacillus sp. B7M1. The record is from RNAcentral. Lineage: Bacteria; Bacillati; Bacillota; Bacilli; Caryophanales; Anoxybacillaceae. RNAcentral also lists the same sequence under 1 other name.